This 101-nucleotide microRNA precursor is filed under the name Procavia capensis (Cape rock hyrax). Its description in RNAcentral is "miRNA (ENSPCAG00000018951.1)". The record is from RNAcentral. Lineage: Eukaryota; Metazoa; Chordata; Mammalia; Hyracoidea; Procaviidae.
UCACUUAGUGUGUGUAUAUAUGUAUACAUACAUGUAUGUGUGUAAGUACAUGUAUUUGUGUGCAUGUAUGCCUACAUAUGUGUGUGCAUGCAUAUGUAUAU